UCCUUCGUGGUGUAGUGGUCAGCAUGCUCGACGCGUAACCGAGAGGUCCGUGGUUCGAUUCCCGGCGAAGGCA
Molecule: transfer RNA, 73 nt
Filed under: Stegodyphus mimosarum
Lineage: Eukaryota; Metazoa; Arthropoda; Arachnida; Araneae; Eresidae
Rfam family: tRNA
About the family: Transfer RNA (tRNA) molecules are approximately 80 nucleotides in length. Their secondary structure includes four short double-helical elements and three loops (D, anti-codon, and T loops). Further hydrogen bonds mediate the characteristic L-shaped molecular structure. tRNAs have two regions of fundamental functional importance: the anti-codon, which is responsible for specific mRNA codon recognition, and the 3' end, to which the tRNAs corresponding amino acid is attached (by aminoacyl-tRNA synthetases). tRNAs cope with the degeneracy of the genetic code in two manners: having more than one tRNA (with a specific anti-codon) for a particular amino acid; and 'wobble' base-pairing, i.e. permitting non-standard base-pairing at the 3rd anti-codon position.
Source: Rfam by way of RNAcentral